Dicentrarchus labrax (European seabass) is the source of this 1348-nucleotide long non-coding RNA. RefSeq lists it as uncharacterized. The transcript has 4 exons. NCBI's taxonomy places the organism in Eukaryota, Metazoa, Chordata, Actinopteri, Moronidae. The record is from RefSeq and is a predicted model, not a curated record.
AUAAGCUAGCUAGCUGGCUAGCUAAAGGUAAUUAGCAGGUGGCUAACAAACAAACAAUUUAAAGCUGAAUGAUUUUAAUAUUAACACAAAAUAAGUUCAAUACACCUUAAAUAUUUUACCCUACUAUGAGCUGUUCCUUAAUUUACAUUAGCACUCCUUCAGGAGCAUAAUACAAUUAAACACAUUAACCAAAGCUAGCACUUAGCUAGCGAUUAGCGCUUAGCUAGCGAUUAGCAUGUAGCUAGCGAUUAGCAUGUAGCUAGCGAUUAGCAGUUAGCUAGCGAUUAGCACGUAGCUAGCGAUUAGCAGUUAGCUAGCGAUUAGCACGUAGCUAAGCGCUAGCUUUGGUUUAUGUGUUUAUGUGUGCUAGCUCUAGCUAGCUAGCUAAAGAGAAUGACAUGAUAUUAAUAUGCUAGCGCUAGCUAAGGAGGAUGACAGGUUAUCAAUAUGCUAUAGGGAGGAUUACAUGGCAUUAAUAAUCUAGCGCUAGCUGGCUAGCUAAAGAUAAUUAGCAGGUGGCUAACAAGCAAACAAUUUAAAGCUGAAUGAUUUUAAUAUUAACACAAAAUAAGUUCAAUACACCUUAAAUAUUUUACCCUACUAUGAGCUGUUCCUUAAUUUACAUUAGCACUCCUUCAGGAGCAUAAUACAAUUAAACACAUUAACCAAAGCUAGCACUUAGCUAGCGAUUAGCGGUUAGCACUUAGCUAGCGAUUAGCGCAGAGCUAGCGGUUAGCACGUAGACAUGGUAUUAACAUAUGGGCCAGAGCAAGGCACAAUCAAAAUUGCUUUAGGAAUUUUCUAGUUAUUGUGCCUUGCAUAAGCAAGCACAAUACUACUCUUCCUCGGGCUUAUUAUAAUUAUUAAACUUAUUAUUAUUCUUCCGUACGUUUUUCGGCGCGCUUCUUCUCCCGGAGCUUUUGUCGCACAUACACAAAAAAGGUAUCAAAACGUGCGGCUCGAUGAGGACAUUAGUGCUAUGACUUUUCUAAGAAUUUCGCCAAACGGUUUGCCGGUAAAUCGCCAAAAACCGGUCCAAAAAAUGAAUGGGUGUGUAUUGCGAGAAUGUUCAACCGCUAGAGUGCGUGACAUCAUCGCUAGAGUGUGGGGAGAGAGAAAAAUUUGUCGAAAAAUAAAUUUGUAAACUGCUGUCAUGGCCACAAAUUUCACUCUACAGAAAUAAUUUAUAGAUAGAAACGUAGGUAAAUUCGUUGGGGUCGCAGUGAUACCACUGCUGAAGCUGUCAGACAAAUAGUUUUGGCGGGAAACGCACUGAUGCGCCAGCAACACCCUCUCACGGCCCCAUCUACUCCCAUGUUAAUUUUAGAGGAGGAAUGUUUAAAGGAGC